RNAcentral lists this long non-coding RNA (958 nucleotides) under Capsicum annuum. Its description in RNAcentral is "long non-coding RNA (CANN_LNC017977)". The record is from RNAcentral. Lineage: Eukaryota; Viridiplantae; Streptophyta; Magnoliopsida; Solanales; Solanaceae.
CAAUACAAAGCAUAUUAAGUAGUCUUCUUCUAUAUCUAAGCUCUCUUAGUCAAUAUUUUUCUUCACAUUUUUAGCUUCCUCUUCUUAGUUGAAUCUUUCGAUUUUAGUUAACAAUCUUAGGCUAGCAGAAGAUUUCCUAAAUAUACCUUUCUUUUUCUAUUCUCUACAGGAUGAAGGAGUUGACGGAAUAGCUGCAAAAGCUAAGGAAGGAGAACAAAAUCAUGGAGAUGAUAAUCAAGAUGAAUGAAGUGUUGAAGGGUGUAAAGAUAUAAUCGUUGAUAUGCACGCUGACGAUAGUUAACACUCAAACAAUGGUAUAAAGAGAUAAAAGAGAGGGCUGACAAAUAGGGUUUGACAUCGGAUGCCCCUCAAUCCUUUGCCCUAUAUUGUAAUUUACUAAUGUUCUUAAUCAAUAACGAACUCCAUAUUAAAAAAUUAUAGGUUAAUUAAGGGCAAAAUACAUAGAUAGACCUUUGAAUUUUUUUAAUUUUAUCGCAUUGGCACCUCAAUUAGGCCAUGUAUCUAUUGAACACCUCAACUAUAUUCAAACUAUGUCAAUUGAGCACAAAUUGCGCAAUUUUAAAUUUGAUUCAGAGCGUGAAAUGCACUUUACCAUGACAUGAAAAUUAUAACCAAUGAUAAAAUUUCAAGUCAUCAAAGAAGAAAAAAAAUCAAAAUAAAAAUUAAGAAAAAAAAAAUAUUUUUUGCUUAUUCUUCUUUUUCCUCUAAACUUUUUCUUUCCAGCAUUGAAGCACCACUAACUAAUAGCAUAUACUCAAUUUCUUCUUUCUCUUUCUUCUUCCAUUAUCAUUUUACAUCCAUUCUAAUUUAAUUUUAUUUUUUGCUUCUUUUAAUUUUUCUCUCAUUUUUCAAACACAAUUGUUAGUGAGAAGAAAAAAGAAGACCUCAUUUUCACUCCUUCAUUUUUUCACCAAAACAACACCCAAUAAUCAUUAAA